Molecule: long non-coding RNA, 262 nt
Organism: Hyalella azteca
Lineage: Eukaryota; Metazoa; Arthropoda; Malacostraca; Amphipoda; Hyalellidae
Exons: 3
Source: RefSeq, a predicted model, not a curated record
GGGCUUCCAGCUUAGUCCCGACGGCGCCUCCUGUCUGGAUGUGGACGAGUGUCGCUACGAGCCUUGCCUCAACUUCGCCUCGUGCUCAAACUCGGUGCCAGGCUACCACUGCUCCUGCACUAGCGGCUACGCAGGCCACAACUGUGAGCAGCAGGCCGGACCCUUGGCCUUCCCCCUAGGCGGCCUGCCUGUCCUGCUGGCCUUCACCUUCUCCCUCGCUACUGUCUUAGGUUUGCUGGCGAUUGCAGUAGCAACUUAUUUU